GACGAACGCUGGCGGCGUGCCUAAUACAUGCCAGUAGAACGCUGAAGAGAGGAGCUUGCUCUUCUUGGAUGAGUUGCGAACGGGUGAGUAACGCGUAGGUAACCUGCCUUGUAGCGGGGGAUAACUAUUGGAAACGAUAGCUAAUACCGCAUAACAAUGGAUGACACAUGUCAUUUAUUUGAAAGGGGCAAUUGCUCCACUACAAGAUGGACCUGCGUUGUAUUAGCUAGUAGGUGAGGUAACGGCUCACCUAGGCGACGAUACAUAGCCGACCUGAGAGGGUGAUCGGCCACACUGGGACUGAGACACGGCCCAGAAUCCUACGGGAGGCAGCAGUAGGGAAUCUUCGGCAAUGGGGGCAACCCUGACCGAGCAACGCCGCGUGAGUGAAGAAGGUUUUCGGAUCGUAAAGCUCUGUUGUAAGUCAAGAACGAGUGUGAGAGUGGAAAGUUCACACUGUGACGGUAGCUUACCAGAAAGGGACGGCUAACUACGUG
Molecule: ribosomal RNA, 497 nt
Filed under: uncultured bacterium
Lineage: Bacteria
Description: partial 16S ribosomal RNA
Rfam family: Bacterial small subunit ribosomal RNA
Source: RNAcentral